AAUAAGGGAAAAAAGAGUGUUUCAAGAUCGCUAAAGUUGUGAAAGCCGAACUAAACUAGUGGUUUGCCAACCAUAUAGCCAUCCCAAAAGGACAUUCCCCUAGAACUAGCUAAUUUUGGUCCCUUUAGUGGUAUGGCGGGCAACCAAAAUCAAGAAAUUGCUUGGCUAAUCCAAGAACUAAAGAGAAAUAAAGUAGGCAAGCUUGGACGCACUCCUCCUGCCAAGAAGAGCCAACCUGAAGAACCUCCCCCUAUUUCUAUUCCAAUUACUCCCAAUCCCAUGGUUCACUGCCUGGUCCCCUACACUCUAUUAAUGAACCAGCUACUCCUACCUCUUCUUAUGAGCAUGUGAUCGGUGGGAGCAUUCCGAUCUCUCUCAGCUCCUAGAUCCUGGCCCAAUCUAUUCGAGAGAAUCAAUUAGUCAAGAAUAAUAAAGAUUUUGCUCUGGUACUGAGUGCCUCAGUUUGCAUGUUAGAAGAUCAGAAGCAGUUAGAGAAAGAAAG
Molecule: unclassified non-coding RNA, 502 nt
Filed under: Hevea brasiliensis (rubber tree)
Lineage: Eukaryota; Viridiplantae; Streptophyta; Magnoliopsida; Malpighiales; Euphorbiaceae
Source: RNAcentral